CUGCGGGGGGGCGCGGCGGCGGGUCCGCGAGGGGAGGAUGUUGCUGAGGUCUACCUCGGCCAUCGGGUCUUCAACGAGCUCGUCGUCAUCGCUGCUGCCGCCGCCGCCGCCCUCGUCGUCGUCGCUGCUCUCCUCGCUGUCGUCUUCCUCCUCCUCCUCCUCCUCCUCCUCCUCCUCGACUACCAUCUUGCCCUUACCCUUGUCAGCCGCGCGAGCACUGGCCCUGGCAGCCUCGGCCACAGCGGCGGCCUCCUCGUCGACGUCGGGACGCGCGGCUUUAGGGGGCGCAAGGUUGGCGUCGGCUUCCACAUCCGCCUCGGGCUUGCGCUUGGCCGGGGAAGGGUAGGGUGCCGGUGCCGGUGCCGGAGCCUGGACCUGGGCGGGGUCGGUGGCCACGGGCUGGGGCUCGCCGUCGGCAGUGGCCAUCUCGCGGGGCGGGGAGCUAGGGUUCUAGAGCGGCUGAACGCGGUGUUGUGUCGUCUAGCGAAUGAAGAGCGGGGAAGAUGGCCAGAGGAGAGGAGGAUGUGGAUGUGGGCUUCGCAGGACGGUGGGUCGCGGUUUGGUGACCUGCGUAUAUGGGUUGUGGCCCAUAUUUUCGGGCAGGGCAUGCUGGGGGCCCUACGAUAA
RNAcentral lists this unclassified non-coding RNA (627 nucleotides) under Zea mays. RNAcentral's name for it is "misc RNA Zm00001eb085000". The record is from RNAcentral. Lineage: Eukaryota; Viridiplantae; Streptophyta; Magnoliopsida; Poales; Poaceae.